This 565-nucleotide ribosomal RNA is filed under the name uncultured archaeon. RNAcentral describes it as "bacterial SSU rRNA". It matches the Rfam family "Archaeal small subunit ribosomal RNA", at positions 326 to 897 of the family's 1478-position model. The record is from RNAcentral.
CGGGGUGCAGCAGGCGCGAAAACUUUGCAAUACACGAAAGUGUGACAGGGUCAUCCCGAGUGCCGACCGCUGAGGUUGGCUUUUACCCAGUCUAGAAAGCUGGGGGAAUAAGGAGAGGGCAAGUCUGGUGUCAGCCGCCGCGGUAAUACCAGCUCUCCGAGUGGUGUGGACGUUUAUUGGGCCUAAAGCAUCCGUAGCUGGCUGAACAAGUCCCCUGUUAAACCCACCGAUUUAAUCGUUGGUCUGCGGGGGAUACUGCUCGGCUAGGGGACGAGAGAGGCAGACGGUAUUCCCGGGGUAGGGGUGAAAUCCUAUAAUCCCGAGAAGACCACCAGUGGCGAAGGCUGUCUGCUAGAACGCGCCCGACGGUGAGGGAUGAAAGCUGGGGGAGCGAACCGGAUUAGAUACCCGGGUAGUCCCAGCUGUAAACGAUGCAGACUAGGUGUUUGGACGGCCACGUGCCGUUCUAGUGCCGCAGGGAAGCUGUUAAGUCUGCCGCCUGGGGAGUACGAUCGCAAGAUUGAAACUUAAAGGAAUUGGCGGGGGAGCACAAGGGCGAUUCGCG